AAUAUUGCACAAUGGGCGCAAGCCUGAUGCAGCCAUGCCGCGUGUAUGAAGAAGGCCUUCGGGUUGUAAAGUACUUUCAGCAGUGAGGAAGGCAGGUACGUUAAUAGCGUGCUUGUUUGACGUUAGCUGCAGAAGAAGCACCGGCUAACUCCGUGCCAGCAGCCGCGGUAAUACGGAGGGUGCGAGCGUUAAUCGGAAUUACUGGGCGUAAAGCGCAUGCAGGUGGUUUGUUAAGUCAGAUGUGAAAGCCCGGGGCUCAACCUCGGAAUUGCAUUUGAAACUGGCAGACUAGAGUACUGUAGAGGGGGUAGAAUUUCAGGUGUAGCGGUGAAAUGCGUAGAGAUCUGAAGGAAUACCGGUGGCGAAGGCGGCCCCCUGGACAGAUACUGACACUCAGAUGCGAAAGCGUGGGGAGCAAACAGGAUUAGAUACCCUGGUAG
This 440-nucleotide ribosomal RNA is filed under the name uncultured bacterium. RNAcentral's name for it is "bacterial SSU rRNA". It matches the Rfam family "Bacterial small subunit ribosomal RNA", at positions 360 to 793 of the family's 1533-position model. The record is from RNAcentral.